RNAcentral lists this ribosomal RNA (161 nucleotides) under Pycnadenoides senegalensis. RNAcentral's name for it is "partial 18S ribosomal RNA". It matches the Rfam family "Eukaryotic small subunit ribosomal RNA", at positions 1673 to 1829 of the family's 1831-position model. The record is from RNAcentral. RNAcentral also lists the same sequence under 1 other name. Lineage: Eukaryota; Metazoa; Platyhelminthes; Trematoda; Plagiorchiida; Opecoelidae.
CCGUCGCUACUACCGAUUGAAUGGUUUAGCAAGGUCAUCGGAUUGGCACAACUGUGGUUGCUUGUCAGCCUUGUUGCACUGAAAAGACGACCGAGCUUGAUCAUUUAGAGGAAGUAAAAGUCGUAACAAGGUUUCCGUAGGUGAACCUUCGGAAGGAUCAU